RNAcentral lists this ribosomal RNA (199 nucleotides) under uncultured bacterium. RNAcentral describes it as "partial 16S ribosomal RNA". It matches the Rfam family "Bacterial small subunit ribosomal RNA", at positions 1302 to 1500 of the family's 1533-position model. The record is from RNAcentral.
AGUCUGCAACUCGACUACAUGAGGCUGGAAUCGCUAGUAAUCGCAGAUCAGAAUGCCGCGGUGAAUACGUUCCCGGGUCUUGUACACACCGCCCGUCACACCAUGGGAGCCGGGAAUGCCCGAAGUCAGUGGCCCAACCGCAGGGAGGGAGCUGCCGAAGGCAGGCCUGGUGACUGGGGUGAAGUCGUAACAAGGUAAC